RNAcentral lists this ribosomal RNA (253 nucleotides) under Staphylococcus sp. EG-SA-26. RNAcentral's name for it is "partial 23S ribosomal RNA". It matches the Rfam family "Bacterial large subunit ribosomal RNA", at positions 1957 to 2209 of the family's 2925-position model. The record is from RNAcentral. Lineage: Bacteria; Bacillati; Bacillota; Bacilli; Caryophanales; Staphylococcaceae.
UAGCGAAAUUCCUUGUCGGGUAAGUUCCGACCCGCACGAAAGGCGUAACGAUUUGGGCACUGUCUCAACGAGAGACUCGGUGAAAUCAUAGUACCUGUGAAGAUGCAGGUUACCCGCGACAGGACGGGAAGACCCCGUGGAGCUUUACUGUAGCCUGAUAUUGAAAUUCGGCACAGCUUGUACAGGAUAGGUAGGAGCCUUUGAAACGUGAGCGCUAGCUUACGUGGAGGCGCUGGUGGGAUACUACCCUAGC